Molecule: long non-coding RNA, 635 nt
Filed under: Sus scrofa (pig)
Lineage: Eukaryota; Metazoa; Chordata; Mammalia; Artiodactyla; Suidae
Description: lncRNA (ENSSSCG00035072062.1)
Source: RNAcentral
ACCAGAGUUUGGUAGGUUUGUACCCAUCUGUAAGCCAGAAUCCCUGAAUCUCCUUCAUACGCAACUGCAUGGUCUUGUGGAGGCGAGACGUCUGGGGGGAAUGAACGGUAACUCCAAGAGCCUGUGUGGGGGUGUCUGUGCAAGGAGGAGCUUGGAAAGUGCUAGAAGUUGUGUGCAGCCUCUUGGGAAGCCCUCCCUCUGAAGAGUUGUGUUGCUGUGGGAAGGAAGCAGCGUGUUGGAAGAGGGCCUUAACGCAGCCGCCUUUCCCAAGAGUUCGGGGAGUCAUUCUGAUGAGCCAUCAGCAGGAACUGAGGUGAGGGAAAAGUGGUUUGUAGUUUAAGUACCUCCAAACUCGACUUCCCAACGUUACCCCUCCACUUAAUUACAGUCCUCUAAGCUGAUUGUCCUUUGUCAGUUUGACACACAGACGUUCCCAGGUGUCUGACUGUUGGCGCGCAUCGGCUCAGAGAAGGGGAGGGGGCGCUACCGCCGGUGCACAGAGUAGACGUGCUUCUGGGUCCUGUGAGAAAGCCUGGUUUGCCACCAAAUGCCCGGCUCGGAGAUGGUCCCACACCUUCUCUCGGAGCUGGGCGUAAGGUCCCGAGAGAUAACAACCUUUGAACUCACACGCAACC